This 1395-nucleotide long non-coding RNA is filed under the name Heterocephalus glaber (naked mole-rat). RNAcentral describes it as "lncRNA (ENSHGLG00100042457.1)". Lineage: Eukaryota; Metazoa; Chordata; Mammalia; Rodentia; Bathyergidae. The record is from RNAcentral.
CUGAAAGGGACCCGAGAACGCGCUCUGAAUCCGACCUCAGGCCUUCCCAGGUCCUCACCGUGUCUUCAGUGCACUUUGUUCGAGGACAGGACUUGUAAGGAGGCGCUGUGAAGUUACAGUAGGGGAAAGCCGGAGUUGGAAAACAUUCUGUCCCUUGGCCUCUCUCCCUUCCUUAGUGAAGAAAAAUCCAGGCCCCUUUGUGUGACUAAAUUUGGCAAGAAUAUGAAUCCGAGCCAGCCUUUCCACGUGUGCUCCCAGCUCCCAGCUGAGGAGGCCAAGGGUUCUCUUCCGGUGCUCAGGGAAAGCGCCUGACUGACAGCACCGACAUCCAAUGCCCAGGAAUCACGGCAACACCGGCUGGCCAAGCGUGGAGAGGACAAUUUUCCAGAAAACUUUCUCUUCCCCUGUAAAUCUGCCAUCUGGGGCGUGCACGAUCAAAGGUUCCUCAGGAAAUCUACAGCGCGGGGAACACCAUUCCCUCUACAGACUUUGUUUGCAGGCUACUUCCUCAACCGUAUCUUGGUACAUGCAGGUCAGACAGUAGAUCUGCUCAAGCCUGCGCCUGGAGUUUUUAGCAAAAUACCUUCGUGAAGCUUAGCCGUACUCUUAGGCAAAUGUCUCCUCGUUGCACAAGCCAUUCCCCCCAUUUCGGAGAUCUAAAUCCUCAUGAAUAAGAGAAAGGUGAACAACAGCAAGCAGGGCCAUUUCCUGGAAGAAACGUCAGAGAAUCUUCUGGUCAGAACCAUAUCCCAGACCACGGUGUGCUCUUCUGGUGGCAAAGCAUCUCAUGGGCGGAGUCCACAAGCACGGCCCCCUUCACUGUGGCUUUUAAAAGUGACCCAUUGACCCUUUCACCAGAGGCAUAGAGAUUUAAGGAUUCAGCUGACGCCAUCGCCACAGCAAAGGCUGUUUAAAAGGAAAGGUUAACUGUGGUAACUGCUGCUGAAAUUAUUUUGCCAGCAAGAACACCAAAAGUAUAUUCAAAAGGCUCUCAGUGACAUGUUCAUAGAAGUGUAGUUUAUGACUUUGAAAGGCCUGGCUGUUCAAACCAUAGAUUGAUGAAAUCAAUUCUAAUAUAGCCACCCAGGGAAUCACUGUGCAGCUAUGAAAAUGAUGUAUGAUUAUUUUCAAUCCUAUGAAAAAGUAGAGAUGGUGCAUAGUUAAAUGAGAAAAGAACGAAUAUAAUAAAAGAGAGAAUACAAUCUUGGUCUCAUUUUUUAAAAUCUUUCUGUACAUAUUAUUUAUUAGAACAUGCUCACAGGGGCCUUGUCUGUCUUACCUCAGUGUCCCUGGUGUCUAGAAGGAUUCCUGGCACAAAGUGGGACGACAUUCAUAUCUAUUAUUAUAUCUAGAAAGACAGGCACUGAAAUAUUAGCAGUUUACCCCAAAGAAUGG